GCCGGGGCCGGGGCCGCGGCCGCGGGGAGCCGCCCGGCGGGGCAGGGCAGGGCCGUUCCCGUGACAAAAUGGAGGCGCCCAAAGCGGCUACAGAACGAGCUCUCGGAAACGCUGUGAAAGCGGCAGGCCUCAAAGCGAAUCGGAAAGGAGUGAAUGUCCCUGUGCCUCGUCCUGCGGCGGGGGCGAAGGCAGCCGGGCCUGGGCGCCGCCGCCGCCGUCCCUCCGCCUCGGUGCCCGUUUGGCACCCGCCAAACGGCGCCAGAGACGAGCCGUGCUGUGCCGUGUCCCAAAACGCUUGAGUUUCUAUAUAUCACUUUUUUUAAGGGGAAAAAAAAAAAGUUUUAAUAUAACGUUCCGAGGCUCAGCAGUCGUAAUUGAUGGGUUUGGAGCUGUGUUCUCUGUCCUCUCUAAGUAUAUACCGCGGUGUUAAAUUGUUCGAUGGUCUCUGAGAAAGUAUCUGUUAUCAGGUGUAAGGUUAUUCAGUGCUUUUCAGACUGUAAACCAGCUCCCUAUAAAUGCCUCUUUUGUUUUUCUGGUUUCCCAUCGCUGCUGCUUGCAUUGUUCUCAUUAGAAAAAAAAGUACAUAAUGGUGCAUUGUAUAGGGAAAGAAAAAUAACCUAUUUGUUAAAGGCCUCUGAUAUAUUAGAUUUUCCCUUUCCCUUUGGAUUAGCUACACGGUUUGGCUAGAUAAAUUGAUGUAAACUAA
This is a long non-coding RNA of Rhea pennata, 706 nucleotides long. RefSeq lists it as uncharacterized. The record is from RefSeq and is a predicted model, not a curated record. Lineage: Eukaryota; Metazoa; Chordata; Aves; Rheiformes; Rheidae. The transcript is spliced from 2 exons.